Strigops habroptila (Kakapo) is the source of this 2532-nucleotide long non-coding RNA. The record is from Ensembl. Lineage: Eukaryota; Metazoa; Chordata; Aves; Psittaciformes; Psittacidae.
AACAUACAUGCUAACAGAAUAACAAGGUUCAGUGUCAAGUCCUAAUGUUAAUGGAGACUGAUUUAUGCCUUCUUGCAACAGAAGGCAAACUGAAUUUGUCUCCACCUAUAACACACUCUUCCCUUUUCAAAAACCAAACCCAACUGAACACACAUGCCCGCCAAGGACAAACGGCUGUGCUUUAAGCCCCAUCUAGUGACAAAUUGUGGAAUUGGUGCUAAACUAAAGCAACAUCCUACAUACAUCACCACACUUGGCAUAACUGAUUUUGCUAAUUAAAUUGAAAAACAAACAUUUUGAGAUUUAUUCCAACUACAAAAUGUUCUCUGCAAACUAUAUAGGGCAUUUCUCCCAUGAAACUGACGAGCCAGGAAGCAACAAAACCAUCCAGCCUAAAAAGUUACAUGCUUUACCAAAUCCGCCUUAUUCCGUUGACACUCCCAGCCAUAACAUUAGGAAAACACAAAGAAGAAUUCAUGGCACGCUGACCUCGAACCUGCUCUUGAACAUCUGCCGCUUUCCAGCCUGUGUCACGAAAAGGUCUGCACACGUUACUUCUGCUUAAGAAAACAUCCUGAAAGACACAGUUCUCAUUAUUUACUCACGACCCAAAAGAAAAUCCACUCAAAACCUUCCUGCCAGUUGCAGUGAGGGAAGAGACAUCAAUGCUCGAUAAAACAAAGGCAAUGUAUCACCUCUCAUCUGAGACCACUAAACUAGAACACUGCUAGAAAGCAGCAAACUGCCUUGACCUCCACCACAACAUACAUCCACACUUUCUUCUAGGGCCAUGAGCUUCACAGUCCAUACAUGUUCACUAACCCCUUAAGCACGUACCCCUCUGCUACCUAGUAUGCAGACAGGUAACGCAGAAGAAAAUUUGCAGGGUAACUUCCUGGCCCUUAACGCAAAUGAAAAGUAGUCUUGUUCUGACCUCCAUCUGGAAUCAAUGGGCUCAAAGACCACCACAUCCAUGCCCUGAAAGGAGGAAGAUAAGCUUAGGUGAAGAGCAGAGGAUCUUUGAUCUAAUGUACUGUUUUCCAAGUGGCAAAUUUCCAGACCUCUGCAGGCCUGAGGAGCUGAAAGACUUAAACUAAAAUGUUUUAGUGGUUGGGAUCCCCUCAAGCAGUGGAGACAGCCUGUGUGCCCAUCUGGUAGCUGGUAUGGCUCCAACACAGAAGAGACAGUAUUUGAGUCUUGCUGACCUUGAAAAGACCAACCCAACCCCAAAAUUUAGAAAAGCUGCCAACAUCAAAUUAUCAGCUGUAACUUAAUGUCCUUUUCUUAUUAUUAUUUCAACUUUUAAACUGCUUAUGAAAGUUGAGGCUGGUAAAAAAAGAAGAAAGAUCUUUCUGUUCAGUCUGAACUUUGGCAGCAAACAGUUCAUAUCAAGAUAGAGGAAGAACUAAACUGCAACAGGCAUGUUCCUCUUUCAUCUUCUCCGAGUUAAGCAUGACCUAGCCAUGAAUGCAAAUAUGACACAUAACUUCUACUAAGUAUUUUCACUGUUGGUCUAUAUAUACACACUACUCAUAGGAACAUACUUCUUGAAGGAGUAUGAUAAAAAAAAAAAACUCAAGAUCCCCAGUCUAAAAGGGAGUUUAGAUGCAUCAUAAUGCACAAAUGCAUCAUAAUCUUAGUGUCCAAGCUCUUCCACAGACACAGGAAGUUAGCUGGCAGCUGAAAGCUUAAGAGAAGCACUAAAGCCCAUUCAUCUUUUCUGCUUUAAUGUAUACUCUAGAUUUAGCAUAAAGAUCACGGCCAAGGCUGUUUGCAAGGUCUACACUCAAUCCCGAAGUCCUUAAAGUUUAAGAUUCCUUUUCAAUUUUCCUUAUCUCAUUCUCUUCUAGAAUACCAGCGACCACUGAGAGAAAGCACCCUACCAGAAUAGCUGUAGUUUAUCCUUAUCUUCAGCCAGAAGGAACCUUAAAGAGCUUGGGAGAUAAAUGCUGUAUAUACCAUCUGCUGUCUAGACUUGGCUUCUGGAGUAUACAGUAUAAUUACAGUUUUCCCAAAGGUCCUCAUUAUUAUCCAGGAACACAGCAAGCAAAACAAAAGGAGAUAUUAAAGUAAUACGUUUGGUAACGACUUAUCCCUGCUACACAAAAUAAAAGCUAUCCACAGUGUUCAGAGCUAAUCAAUCCAUAGCUUCCAUGGGAAAGAUACAACUGAUAAGCUCCUACUUAAGAGCUCCCAUUUUACAGUUUGCGGCACUAACCAUACAUCUGCUAGACAAGGAAGAAACACGUCGUUAACAUAGUGGAAGGUGGCUGGACCCCAGCACACAAGAUUCCAGCAGCCCACUUCCUAGACAAGAAUUACUGGAAUGUGAACAGCAUGGUCCUAUGUUUAAAUAGAGAUUAUUCUAAACAGUUUCUACCAGGCAGACAUUAAGACUAUCAGAUGUUAGAUGAAGAUGUCGAAAAUUUUUCUAGUGCUAAGAUUUGGCAUAUAAAUACAAUUUGGAACACCAAUGUGCUUUACCCACAGAUUUUAUAUGUAUAUCUUUCCGGUUUUGGAUGACACAAGAAC